CGGCGUGCUUACACAUGCAAGUCGAACGAUGAAGCCCUUCGGGGUGGAUUAGUGGCGAACGGGUGAGUAACACGUGGGCAAUCUGCCCUUCACUCUGGGACAAGCCCUGGAAACGGGGUCUAAUACCGGAUAACACUCUGUCCCGCAUGGGACGGGGUUGAAAGCUCCGGCGGUGAAGGAUGAGCCCGCGGCCUAUCAGCUUGUUGGUGGGGUAAUGGCCUACCAAGGCGACGACGGGUAGCCGGCCUGAGAGGGCGACCGGCCACACUGGGACUGAGACACGGCCCAGACUCCUACGGGAGGCAGCAGUGGGGAAUAUUGCACAAUGGGCGAAAGCCUGAUGCAGCGACGCCGCGUGAGGGAUGACGGCCUUCGGGUUGUAAACCUCUUUCAGCAGGGAAGAAGCGAAAGUGACGGUACCUGCAGAAGAAGCGCCGGCUAACUACGUGCCAGCAGCCGCGGUAAUACGUAGGGCGCAAGCGUUGUCCGGAAUUAUUGGGCGUAAAGAGCUCGUAGGCGGCUUGUCACGUCGGAUGUGAAAGCCCGGGGCUUAACCCCGGGUCUGCAUUCGAUACGGGCUAGCUAGAGUGUGGUAGGGGAGAUCGGAAUUCCUGGUGUAGCGGUGAAAUGCGCAGAUAUCAGGAGGAACACCGGUGGCGAAGGCGGAUCUCUGGGCCAUUACUGACGCUGAGGAGCGAAAGCGUGGGGAGCGAACAGGAUUAGAUACCCUGGUAGUCCACGCCGUAAACGUUGGGAACUAGGUGUUGGCGACAUUCCACGUCGUCGGUGCCGCAGCUAAC
Molecule: ribosomal RNA, 800 nt
Filed under: Streptomyces sp. D130
Lineage: Bacteria; Bacillati; Actinomycetota; Actinomycetes; Kitasatosporales; Streptomycetaceae
Description: bacterial SSU rRNA
Rfam family: Bacterial small subunit ribosomal RNA
Source: RNAcentral